This 168-nucleotide ribosomal RNA is filed under the name Psophocarpus tetragonolobus (winged bean). Its description in RNAcentral is "5.8S ribosomal RNA". It matches the Rfam family "5.8S ribosomal RNA". Rfam says of the family: 5.8S ribosomal RNA (5.8S rRNA) is a component of the large subunit of the eukaryotic ribosome. The record is from RNAcentral. Lineage: Eukaryota; Viridiplantae; Streptophyta; Magnoliopsida; Fabales; Fabaceae.
AUGCAAAAUGACUCUCGGCAACGGAUAUCUCGGCUCUUGCAUCGAUGAAGAACGUAGCGAAAUGCGAUACUUGGUGUGAAUUGCAGAAUCUCGUGAACCAUCGAGUCUUUGAACGCAAGUUGCGCCCGAAGCCAUUAGGUUGAGGGCACGCCUGCCUGGGUGUCACAC